UAGCCUAACGGCUGAACCAGCAACUUGGAGGAAUGGAUAGCGAAAGCUAAUUGUACUAAUGGUACAAUAACGAUUUAAUCGUAUAAAAUUCUGGGUAGAAUUAUGAUAAUGACAUUGUUUACCUAUAUAUCUUGACCAAAUUACGUGCCAGCAGUCGCGGUAAUACGUAGAAGAUUAGUGUUAUUCAUCUUUAAUAGGUUUAAAGGGUACCUAGACAGCAAAUCAAGCCUUCAAAAGGGACUAGUUUGCUAGAGUUACUUGUGAGGGGGCAUAAAAGUACUAUCGGUGUAGAGAUAAAAUUCGUUGAUACCCCUUUUCGUAUGAAAAUUAAUGGCACAGAUUUAGGCAAAAGCAUCCCCUUAUGUGAUAACUUUGUGUAGCGAACAGGAUUAGAUACCCCAAUAGUCGAAGCAGAAAAUGAUGAGUGUCAUAGAUUAGAUUUAUAUUUAUUCUAUAAAUGAAAGUGUAAGCACUCCACCUCAAGAGUAAUUUGGCAACAUUGGAACUGAAAUCAUUAGACCGUUUCUGAAACCAGUAGUGAAGUAUGUUGUUUAAUUAGAUAACACGCAAAAAACCUUACCACAAUUUGAAUAUUUACAAGCGUUGCAUGGUUGUCUUCAGUUAAUGUCGUGAGACUAUGGUUAGUUCCAUUAAUUAACGUAAACCCUUGCUUUAUUUUUAUAUAAGGUUGUCCCCCGCUACAUUGGAUAUGAUAACAGGGAUCAAGAC
Molecule: ribosomal RNA, 729 nt
Filed under: Puttea margaritella
Lineage: Eukaryota; Fungi; Ascomycota; Lecanoromycetes; Lecanorales
Description: SSU rRNA
Rfam family: Bacterial small subunit ribosomal RNA
Source: RNAcentral